CGUGUAGGCGGUUUUGUAUGUCUGGCGUGAAAGCCCCGGGCUCACCUCGGGAAGUGCGUUGGAAACUGCAAGACUAGAGUCCCGGAGAGGAAGGUGGAAUUCCAGGUGUAGCGGUGAAAUGCGUAGAUAUCUGGAAGAACACCGGUGGCGAAGGCGGCCUUCUGGACGGUGACUGACGCUGAGACGCGAAAGCGUGGGGAAGCAAACA
This 208-nucleotide ribosomal RNA is filed under the name uncultured bacterium. Its description in RNAcentral is "partial 16S ribosomal RNA". It matches the Rfam family "Bacterial small subunit ribosomal RNA", at positions 568 to 774 of the family's 1533-position model. The record is from RNAcentral.